AUGUGUUUGUCACCAAACCAGAUGACAGUCAGCUGUUUCUCUGAAGGAGAUGAAGUAGAGUUCAUUUUGUCUUUGGAUGAUAAGUUGUUGAUACAGACUACAGCCAACGGUAUAGGAAACUGCAACAUUUCAAAUGUUACCAUUAACUUACCUGGUCAACUGAUGGAAAACCUGACAUGUGUUGCUCAAAACAAUGUCAGCAGAAAACAAAAUAUCACCCACCUUACAAGCUGUACAGCUCCUGUGUCAAAACCAGCUGUAUCUCAGGUGUGUUCGUCGCCAGAACAAAGGAAAGUCAGCUGCUCCUCUGAAGGAGAUGACGUAGAGUUCAUCUUCUUAUUAGAUGAUAACUUGUUGAUAAAAACCCAACCCAACAUUUCAGAAAACCACAACAUUUCAAAUGUUACCAUCAGCUUACAUGGUCAACUGCUGGGAAAGCUAAUGUGUAUUGUCCAGAACAAUAUAAGCAGACAACAAACCAUCAUCCACCUUAUAAGAUGUACAGGUAAUAUUUCUGACCACUGUGUCGUGACUGUGGCUGUGGUAGGAAGCAUUGCCAUUCUACUCAUUCUGGCUGUGUUUCUUGGUGUCCGGAAAUUCCAAAAGACUGGCACUAUGACUGUUAAUGAAGAUGAUGCUGAAGUGGAUGUUGUCUACUCAGAGGUUAGACUGAAGCAGGAUGGAAGAGAAACAAGAGAAACACCACCUAUUUCAAAUCAAGAUGAAAGUUAACGUUGACUUUUGGUCAAGUAGCUAAUAAAACUAUGCCAGUUUAGCAGUUCCAGCUGUGCAGUUAAUGUAAAGGUAAACAUAUUUUACAAGUACUCACUGGAUUACUUUAAUUUUGAAGAAAACAUAAAGGGAUAAAAAAGGAAUUUAG
This is a long non-coding RNA of Astatotilapia calliptera (eastern happy), 880 nucleotides long. Lineage: Eukaryota; Metazoa; Chordata; Actinopteri; Cichliformes; Cichlidae. The record is from Ensembl.